GUGGGGAAUAUUGGACAAUGGGCGAAAGCCUGAUCCAGCCAUGCCGCGUGUGUGAAGAAGGUCUUCGGAUUGUAAAGCACUUUAAGUUGGGAGGAAGGGCAGUAAGUUAAUACCUUGCUGUUUUGACGUUACCGACAGAAUAAGCACCGGCUAACUUCGUGCCAGCAGCCGCGGUAAUACGAAGGGUGCAAGUGUUAAUCGGAAUUACUGGGCGUAAAGCGCGCGUAGGUGGUUUUGUAAGUUGGAGGUGAAAUAACCGGGCUCAACCUGGGAACUGCCUCCAAAACUGCAUGACUAGAGUACGGUAGAGGGUAGUGGAAUUUCCUGUGUAGCGGUGAAAUGCGUAGAUAUAGGAAGGAACACCAGUGGCGAAGGCGACUACCUGGACUGAUACUGACACUGAGGUGCGAAAGCGUGGGGAGCAAACAGGAUUAGAUACCCGGGUAGUCC
Molecule: ribosomal RNA, 450 nt
Filed under: uncultured bacterium
Lineage: Bacteria
Description: partial 16S ribosomal RNA
Rfam family: Bacterial small subunit ribosomal RNA
Source: RNAcentral